Molecule: long non-coding RNA, 479 nt
Filed under: Nicotiana benthamiana
Lineage: Eukaryota; Viridiplantae; Streptophyta; Magnoliopsida; Solanales; Solanaceae
Description: long non-coding RNA (NBEN_LNC034399)
Source: RNAcentral
GGCAGGGGGAAGCCUAAGAGGUAUUGGGAAGAAGUGAUUAGGCAUGACAUGGCUAGAAUGCGGGUUUCCGAGGACAUGACCCUUGAUAGGAAAGUCUGGAGGUCUAGUAUCAGGGUUGUAGGAUAGGGGCUCCUAGAGUUUUUCGUACUCCUCACCCGGGGUUGGGUGAUGCUUGGCAGGCUAUCCAUAGAUGAUUUGUGUAUUUGAUUGUGUCUCCCUUAUACUAGUUAUUUAUGGUAGUUACUGUCUAAUAUCAUUGCAUGUUAUUUUAUUUAUGGUUCUUAUGUUUAAAUAAUUAUUUACGCUACUUGUGUUGGAGUUACUAAUGCUCUUUUAUUUUUAUUUUUACUUUUGUUUUUAUUUUUCUUUCUUUCACUGAGUCGAGGGUCGAUUGGAAACAGCCUCUCUGUCCUUUCGGGUAGGGGUAAGGCCCGUAUAUAUUAUUUUUUCCAGAUUUCACUUUGUGGAAUUAUACUGGG